GCGUCCGCUGAGCACUGGGCAGGGAGGCAGUGGUCGCCGCUGGCCCCUACCCCUUCCAAGUUCGGUUGGACUCUCGGGACAGUUCCACCCGUUGGGGUCUGGGGCGGGUGGCAAAUCUCCUCCCCCACUGUUCACUUUCUCCACUCGCCCCUUCCCCCAUUCACUGGGCCACGUAGAAGCGCUCUCGCUUUCGUGCCCUUUACCCCUAGAAGCCUGAAGGUAACUGAAUGGAAACACUGACACGUGAAAACUCUAUUCUGAGUGACUUAGAAUUGGCCGCCUUGAGGUUUUAAUCUUGCCCCUCUGGUCCCGCCCAGCCUUAAGAGCAGCUGUCCUAAUGGUCUGCGCAGCCUCUCUGGUCCUUGAGGAAGAUUUGCACGACAGCUUUCUUCUGAGCUCUGAGACCGUCACGUCCCGAUUUAGAAACAGAGAGAAUGAACUGGCCAUCACCAACCAUCUGCUAGGAGGGGAGGUGCCCUCUCCCCAUUCUGGCCUUUUUUUCUGUUCCCUCCCUAUGUGCAACUGGUUUUCGCCUCCAGGAGACGUGCCCUCCCCCAUCCCAUCACUACCCGAGGGCAGUCACCGAGGCCGAGGCCAGGUCAAGCAGAGGCUGUUGUACCCAGGACAGCCUUGAGUGUUUGUGGUGUCGGCAUAGGUGGUAUUUGGAGAUGUCAGUGCACCAGCGACCUCUUCUAAGACUCUUCAAAAGAAACUGAUCUCUAUUGCUUGGCUUUUAGUUGUCCCUCCACUUCCCCUUGAGGACCGCUAGGUGCGUUUGUUUACUGUCUCACCUACAAGUUGAACCAACUUGAGACCUUUCACUAUGAGCUAAGUGAUUUCUAUUUUUAAAGAAGGGGCCAUAAUGUUUGUUGGCUGAACUUUUCUGUUUUGCUGACCUGAUAAUCCACUCUAGUGUUUGGCUACCAAAAAAGGUCCCUCAAGUGCUCCAGGUCCACCUGGGGGCCAUUUGCCAAACUCCCUGCCCUCCAACUACAGUCAUCAAUGCAAGAUCAGACUGAAUUUAACUCUCUUUCUUGUGACCUCCUGUCUUGGUUCUCUGCCAGUGAAUGUCUGAAAGGAAAACUGACCACAGUUAAGGAAACCUCUGUGCACUUGCCAUUGUAUCCCUGAAACCUGGAAAUGAAAAUAGAAAUCGUUUGAUGUAUGAGGAGAUGUUAUCUAAUUAGGAUGUAAGAAAUUUAAUCUUUCUAGCAUGCAGGUCAUAUAAUUAAUGUUAAUUUAACGCUCAAAUUCUCAGUCAUUAAUUUUUAUUCUCUUAAAUGCAGUUUGGCAGGGGCCUCUGAUCCAGGGCAAUGGCUUUUACUGGAUGUGAGAGCACUCUUGGUAUUAGGAGUGACUCACUGAAAACCUUCCUAACCCAAUAACAAGAUCACAUCAUGUAUGCAUUAUUAAGCUACAUAAUUGAACAGUCUAUAGUUUGCAUAUCAGACUAUUAAAAUAAUGUGUUUUGCUUUUCUCUGAACACGUAUUGUUCAAGCCUCUGCGAAUAUGUGGUGAUUCUGAUAAUUAUCACCAAAUUACAGCAAAUGUUCUCUUCAUUAACAUGAUUUCUUUCAAGCAUUUUUAAAAUGUGAAUAUCAUCAUGAAUUAAGGGACUUCUUCCAAAGUUAUACAAACUUUUAUUUAAAGGGACUUACCAUUAGGAGAGAAGGGUUGUAUUUUAAAUGGCAGAAGUAGAGAGAUACAUUUAUCUGACUUUAAAGUGUUUUCCUCCGGUCAAAUAAAAAAAAAAAGUUUUCCAUUUAGCUUUCAGUGAAGCUUCAAGGGUAGAGACAAAGAGAAGAAGAAAGGGAGAGGGAAUGAAGAGAAGAAUGUCAAGAUUUGGACGUUACUGUAGAGUGAGAAGGCAGUUGAAGUCCCUACCUACUCCUUUGUAGAAAGCUAGUGGUCCCAGGAAAAUCUUAACUGCUUAUCUGCCCUAUCCUUAACGGUGGCUCUCGUCUCGCUUUAAAAAGCCUAAACUCUGAAUUUUAUGAAGCUAACAGUUUAUUACUAACUAAACACUGUUAUUCUCAGUCCUGAGCUGUACUGUUGGAGAACCGAUACACACGGGAAUAAAACCAAAAAAAAAAAAAAAAAAAAAAGCCUUUUCUCAGAAUGUCGUCAAAGCUGAAUAGCAGGGCUUGUUUCGUUGUUGGUCUUUUUUUUUUUUUAACUAUUGCAAAAUAAAAGUCUUUUUUGAUGUGAAAGUUU
Molecule: non-coding RNA, 2214 nt
Organism: Rattus norvegicus (Norway rat)
Lineage: Eukaryota; Metazoa; Chordata; Mammalia; Rodentia; Muridae
Source: RefSeq, a predicted model, not a curated record